GCUGGGCAUGGUGGCUCAUGCCUGUAAUCCUAGCAUUUUGGGAAGCUGAGGCAGGCAGAUCACUUGAGGUCAGGAGUUCGAGACCAGCCUGACCAACAUGGUGAAACCCUGUCUCUU
RNAcentral lists this non-coding RNA (117 nucleotides) under Nomascus leucogenys (northern white-cheeked gibbon). Lineage: Eukaryota; Metazoa; Chordata; Mammalia; Primates; Hylobatidae. The record is from Rfam by way of RNAcentral.